UCUCCGACAGGGGCUGAGUUGCUGGAGCUGGGCUGGGGCAGGGGAGAAAGACAGCAGACUCAUCCUUGCACCCCUCCAUGGGCCUGGCCAAGCCCCCAAGAGGAUGGCAGCCUGGGCGUCGGAGCCACCUCCUGGGCAGCCAAUGAGGUGGUCCCCAGGCCAAGGUGGGCAGGUGUUACAGAGAAGAGGGCCCUAAGGGCUCACAACCAAAGUGAUCCGCCAAGCAGGACAGUAUCUGCGUUACAGCCACAGCAGGAAGAACCACUGGAGAGACACUCGGAGGGACUUCCCUGACAUCUGCACCAAGGAGAGUCUGGACAAAGCUACUGAAACUCCUCCAUCUGCUUCUAAAAUGCCCAGAAGACAACUGGACCAGUUUGGUGUUAGAAGUAGGAGGUUGGACGACUUCAUCCCCAAAGGGUCCUGAAGCACCAGAACUGGCGUGUGGAAGGGGCCGAGGCCUAACUGAGGUUGGUGGAUUCACACGUGGGGGUCCUCCAGGACCUCAGCUGCACCCAUUUUCUGGAGGUUUUGCUGCCCACAACACCAGUAUUUCACAACUUCCUGGUCGCUGAGAAUAUUUAUUCAAAAACAGGGAUUGAAAAAAC
Non-coding RNA from Macaca mulatta (Rhesus monkey), 608 nucleotides. Lineage: Eukaryota; Metazoa; Chordata; Mammalia; Primates; Cercopithecidae. The record is from RefSeq and is a predicted model, not a curated record.